AAGUCUGAACGGAGCAACGCCGCGUGAGUGAUGAAGGCUUUCGGGUCGUAAAACUCUGUUGUUAGGGAAGAACAAGUACGAGAGUAACUGCUCGUACCUUGACGGUACCUAACCAGAAAGCCACGGCUAACUACGUGCCAGCAGCCGCGGUAAUACGUAGGUGGCAAGCGUUAUCCGGAAUUAUUGGGCGUAAAGCGCGCGCAGGCGGUUUCUUAAGUCUGAUGUGAAAGCCCACGGCUCAACCGUGGAGGGUCAUUGGAAACUGGGGAACUUGAGUGCAGAAGAGAAAAGCGGAAUUCCACGUGUAGCGGUGAAAUGCGUAGAGAUGUGGAGGAACACCAGUGGCGAAGGCGGCUUUUUGGUCUGUAACUGACGCUGAGGCGCGAAAGCGUGGGGAGCAAACAGGAUUAGAUACCCGGGGUAGU
RNAcentral lists this ribosomal RNA (425 nucleotides) under Bacillus zanthoxyli. Its description in RNAcentral is "bacterial SSU rRNA". It matches the Rfam family "Bacterial small subunit ribosomal RNA", at positions 379 to 794 of the family's 1533-position model. Lineage: Bacteria; Bacillati; Bacillota; Bacilli; Caryophanales; Bacillaceae. The record is from RNAcentral.